AUUGAACGCUGGCGGCAGGCCUAACACAUGCAAGUCGAACGAGUGGCAGACGGGUGAGUAAUGUCUGGGAAACUGCCUGAUGGAGGGGGAUCACUACUGGAAACGGUCGCUAAUACCGCAUACCAUCAGAUGUGCCCAGAUGGGAUUAGCUAGUCGGUGGGCUAAUGGCUCACCUAGGCGACGAUCCCUAGCUGGUCUGAGAGGAUGACCAGCCACACGGGAACUGUGAAACGGUCCAGACUCCUACGGGAGGCAGCAGUGGGGAAUAUUGCACAAUGGGCGCAAGCCUGAUGCAGCCAUGCCGCGUGUGUGAAGAAGGCCUUCGGGUUGUAAAGCACUUUCAGCGGGGAGGCGUUACCCGCAGAAGAAGCACCGGCUAACUCCGUGCCAGCAGCCGCGGUAAUAC
Molecule: ribosomal RNA, 406 nt
Filed under: uncultured bacterium
Lineage: Bacteria
Description: partial 16S ribosomal RNA
Rfam family: Bacterial small subunit ribosomal RNA
Source: RNAcentral